This 499-nucleotide ribosomal RNA is filed under the name uncultured bacterium. RNAcentral describes it as "partial 16S ribosomal RNA". It matches the Rfam family "Bacterial small subunit ribosomal RNA", at positions 28 to 507 of the family's 1533-position model. The record is from RNAcentral.
GACGAACGCUGGCGGCGUGCUUAACACAUGCAAGUCGAACGGGCCUGUCUUCUUUUUUGGGGGUGGGUUGAGUGGCGAACGGGUGAGUAUCACGUGAGUAACCUGCCCUUCGGUCCUGGAUAACCGCUUGAAAGGGCGGCUAAUACGGGGUGGUCCGGUUGGUCCGCAUGGGCUGGUCGGGAUAGAUUCACUGUUUUUGGUGUUUCGGCGGGGGAUGGGCUCGCGGCCUAUCAGCUUGUUGGUGGGGUGAUGGCCUACCAAGGCGGUGACGGGUAGCCGGCCUGGGAGGGUGGGCGGCCACACUGGGACUGAGAUACGGCCCAGACUCCUGCGGGAGGCAGCAGUGGGGGGUAUUGCACAAUGGGCGGAAGCCUGAUGCAGCGACGUCGCGUGAAGGAUGGAGGCCUUCGGGUUGUGAACCUCUGUUUCCGGUGGUGAAGGCCCUGUCCGUGUGGUGGGGUUGACGGUAGCCGGGGAUGAAGCGCCGGCUAACUACGUG